AGAGAAAGUCCGUUAUAGAUGCCCAGUCCCGUAGAAAACAGAGAACGAUCUCCACAUCUCAUCUGGAAGUGGAUGUCACUGAGUAAUUGGCAUACAAGAGGAUCCCACCAGCAGUCACCAGACCGGGGCCGUUGAACUGGCCGAACCUACCACAUUAAUGGAUCGAGGUUCUGUUCCAAACACCAACCAAACUGGGAAUGCACAGAUGGAGAGGUCACAUCUCUGGGGCCCAUAAGAGGUCCCUAGCAUCCUGUGAUGGUCCGCCGAUUUGCUAAGAACCCCAGAAAGAGUCCAGGCCACCAAGGUGAGCCUACUCUCCAGGAGUAGAAGGUGUGGGUUUCCCUUAGGGUCCGUGAGAAGCAUCGGGUAUGAAGGCAGGAGGAGUAGAACCUCACCAGAAAGUCCGGGAACCAAGGUUGGCUCCGUCACAGCAGGGUGACCAAGGUCAGUGUUACUCGCUGAACACAGAGGUGCUAAAUAGCUCUCACAAUCAGGAGGAGGGAAAAGCGUACGCCCCCAGGGGAGACCCAGCCUGCAGGAAUGCGCCCACCAUUGUGCACUCCAGAUCCAGCAGCCAAGUGAAGAACGCUGAAGUCUGGUGAUCCCUCUAAUGGUGGGAGAACCAAUCUGUGGUGAGAUGUGUCAUCCCCAGGAGGUAGUCUGCUCUCAGGGGGAUCCUGUGAGGGAUGCUGAAAUCAAAGAUGCCUUUUGUGAUGUCUGAUAGGAGAGGGGAGCAGGCUUCGUCCAGGCGAUUGAUAUACCAGACUGCCGACGCUCUGUUCAUCCAGAGUAGGAUGCAACAAACGGAUUAACCAUUCACCAGGACAAUGAGGGAUCCCGUUAAGAGUUCCAGGCAAUCAAAGUGAAUGGAGAAUUCCUGAGUUGUGCACCCCCCUUCCGUGGGUACACUCUGGGAGGUUGUUUCCACAGCCCCACGGGCUGGUAUC
Non-coding RNA from Pelobates cultripes (western spadefoot toad), 947 nucleotides. The record is from the annotation of a GenBank genome assembly. Lineage: Eukaryota; Metazoa; Chordata; Amphibia; Anura; Pelobatidae.